AUGCCCUACCUCACUCGACACAUUCCUCGCCUCCGCCUCAUUCGCUCCCUCUCCUCCGCUCGCCUCCGAGACCACCACUUCCUCCUGCGCUUCGCUGCGCUCGCCAAGGAGCUCUCCGACCAGCCCGUGCCCUCGCCUCUCCCGUCCCGGCCACAGUCCCCGCACCCCUACGACUACAACCGCCUCAUGUCCGCGCAUGCUACGUUGGACGCUGCUGGCGGGGCCGGCGCCGGGGCCGACCGCGCCCUCCACCUGCUCGACGAAAUGCGCAGCGUCCUCCAGCGCCGCCCAGACGCCGCCUGCUUCACCACAGUCGCGGCAGCGCUCUCAGCUGCCUCCCGCCCAGACGCCGCCCUCGCCGUGCUAGAAGCGAUGGCCGUGGACGGUGUCGUGCCGGACACUGCGGCAUGCACGGUCCUGGUCGGGGUGUACGCCUGCCACCUGCAGCGGUUCGAUGCCGCUUACGAGGUCGUGGGGUGGAUGACAGAGAAUGGUGUGGCCCCAGAUGUUGUCACUUACUCGACUCUGAUAUGUGGGCUCUGCAGUGCCGGGCGGGUAGCCGAAGCUCUGGGCGUCCUGGACUUGAUGCUGGAGGAAGGAUGCCACCCGAAUGCGCACACAUAUACACCUAUCAUGCACGUGUACUGCACUGCUGGGAUGAUUCAUGAGGCCAAGAAGCUGUUGGACUCGAUGAUUGCUGCUGGAUGUGCUCCAAGCACGGCUACUUACAAUGUCUUGAUUAAAGCUCUUUGCAAGGCUGGAGCUUUUGAGGAAGUAGAGGUGCUUCUUGAGGAGAGCAGCUCAAAAGGUUGGAUGCCGGAUACGAUCACAUACAGCACUUACAUGGAUGGGCUAUGCAGAUCUGGUAGGUUAGAUAAGAGCUUUGCAUUGGUCGAUAGGAUGCUAUCCAAGGGGUUGCGUCCUAAUGAGGUUACUCUGAAUAUCCUUCUUGAUGGCGUUUGCCGCAGCUCAACUGCGUGGGCUGCGAAAUGCCUUCUGGAGUGCAGUGCAGACAUUGGAUGGGAUGCCAGUGUUGUCAACUAUAACACCGUGAUGAGGAGGCUUUGUGAUGAGCGGAGAUGGUUGGCUGUUGUCAAGCUGUUCACUGACAUGUCGAAGAAGGGCAUAGCUCCAAAUAGCUGGACUUUCAACAUCGUAGUCCACAGCCUCUGUAAACUUGGGAAGCUUCACAAUGCGCUUUGCUUGAUGGGGAGUGAAGGGUUUGUUGCCAGUGUUAUCACAUACAAUACAUUGAUCCGUCAUCUCAGUUUGUUGGGGAAAUCUAACGAGGUCUACCUCUUGCUUCAUGACAUGAUUGAAGAGGGCAUUGCCCCCAAUGAAACCACCUACAUUCUUGUGAUUGAUUGUCUAUGUAGAGAGGAGAAAUUCUUGGCUGCUCUUAGCUGUUUCUACCGAUCACUAGAGGAUGGUUUCUCUCCAUCUGUAGUUACAAGUAUUGUACGAGGUCUCAUUGUUGGUGGUAAGUUUGGCGAGUUGCAUACUUUGAUUGGGUGGAUUCUGGGACAAGGCUUUGCAAUAGAUGUGUACCUGUACCGAGUAGUGAUCAUUGCUUUUUGUAAGAAAGGAUACUGUCAAGGCACAGAAAUGUACAAAGUCUGUCAUAUAUUGGAAAGAAUGCUCAGCUUGAGAUGA
This 1653-nucleotide ribosomal RNA is filed under the name Triticum aestivum (bread wheat). RNAcentral describes it as "partial small subunit ribosomal RNA". Lineage: Eukaryota; Viridiplantae; Streptophyta; Magnoliopsida; Poales; Poaceae. The record is from RNAcentral.